CGUCAACCCCCUUUACCUCCAAAUGUACCUCAAAUCUUUAUGUUUGAGUGUGACUCACAAAUAUUGCUUACAAAGUGUAGCUUCACACCACAUGCUCUAGAUGUCAGUGUUUGCUUGUGUCACAGUUCCUGUUGCCACCUCUGGUUGCUAUAACUCCUGAUAUAUGAAUUGUAAAAGCCACAGAAAGUUUAGCAUCGACUGUGAACAGUUGUGAAAGGCCAAGAGAGACAGGAUUCAAAUCUCUCUUAUUUGAUGCAGAGAGUAACAUGGCCAGUGCCAGUAACUUGUGAUGACAGCUUCAUAUCAAAUUAAUCCAUGGCAGCUUGCUACGUGACAGUGCCAAAGCUUUGUAUACAAUUGAACAAAUAAUGCACGCAAACUUUUCAAGGAGGAUGAGAGAAGAUUCAUCGACAGCUCCGAACGAUGGGGGGAACGAUUCUGUGUGCUGACAGUGAAGCUGGCGGCUUUUAUUUAAAACAAACUUCCCCUCAGUGAUCCAUGGUUCCUCUCUGAGACAUGGACAGAAGAGUCAUGUUUGGUGUUUGUUGUUAAUCUCUCCCUGUGCAGAACUCCAGAGCGAGGAUCCUCAGAGUGUUCCAAGCUGGGGAUUCAGACUUUGUGGCCGCAGCCUGUGCAGAGGCAGAUAGGCCUGCCUGUUUUAUAUGUAAAGCUGCCAGCCAGAAAGCACGGGCCCGCAGGGUACUCCGCACAACUCCUUUGUUGCAGCCAAACUGUGACGGGGUCCCACUGUCUAAGCUGCUUCGCAUUCUGGGAGCACAAGCGAUGGGAAGGACACUAAGGAUGGUACAGCAGAGCCCAGUUACCACCAGCUUCGGUACACUCUGCACUCCAAAGUCAGGUGUGAUUACAGCGUUCAGCGUCGAGGAAAUGGAGGUUCAAGGAGAAACAAGAGGGGUUGUGGGCGUGUGAAGAUGGAAACGAGCGCUGGGUCAUUAGUCUUUGAUGUUUUUUUUUUUUUCCCCUCCUCUGAUGUGACCCGUGACUAAUUCUUCUCCACACUCUUUGCAUGAAUUGUGGGUGUGUGCAGCACUUUUAUUAUCUUUGAAUAUAUUAAUAAAUCUAUCUAUCUAUUGC
Molecule: long non-coding RNA, 1095 nt
Filed under: Sparus aurata (gilthead seabream)
Lineage: Eukaryota; Metazoa; Chordata; Actinopteri; Spariformes; Sparidae
Description: lncRNA (ENSSAUG00010007734.1)
Source: RNAcentral